UUCUAUCAGGGCAAACUGUCCGUGAGGACAGGGCGCAAAGCUACGGGGCUUUCCAUCUUUUCCCUCCCCCUCGAUGGGGGAGGGUCAGGGUGGGGGUGACGUUCAAGCCAGCCGGGCUGCCGAGG
This 125-nucleotide non-coding RNA is filed under the name Nitrospinota bacterium. Its description in RNAcentral is "Nitrospinae bacterium c-di-GMP sequence". It matches the Rfam family "c-di-GMP-I-GGC riboswitch aptamer". The record is from RNAcentral. Lineage: Bacteria; Pseudomonadati; Nitrospinota.